This 253-nucleotide ribosomal RNA is filed under the name uncultured bacterium. RNAcentral's name for it is "partial 16S ribosomal RNA". It matches the Rfam family "Bacterial small subunit ribosomal RNA", at positions 524 to 776 of the family's 1533-position model. RNAcentral also lists the same sequence under 1 other name. The record is from RNAcentral.
UACGUAAGUGGCGAGCGUUAUCCGGAAUUACUGGGCGUAAAGCGUGCGUAGGCGGUUUAGUGUGUGGGAAUUGAAAGCCCGGGGCUCAACUCCGGAUCCGGUUCCCAAACUGCUAGACUCGAGCGUAUCAGAGGAGAGCGGAAUUCCCGGUGUAGCGGUAAUAUGCGUAGAUAUCGGGAGGAACACCAGUGGCGAAGGCGGCUCUCUGGGGUAUUGCUGACGCUGAGGCACGAAAGCCAGGGGAGCGAACGGG